RNAcentral lists this ribosomal RNA (465 nucleotides) under Vreelandella stevensii. RNAcentral describes it as "partial 16S ribosomal RNA". It matches the Rfam family "Bacterial small subunit ribosomal RNA", at positions 338 to 795 of the family's 1533-position model. Lineage: Bacteria; Pseudomonadati; Pseudomonadota; Gammaproteobacteria; Oceanospirillales; Halomonadaceae. The record is from RNAcentral.
CCUACGGGUGGCUGCAGUGGGGAAUAUUGGACAAUGGGGGCAACCCUGAUCCAGCCAUGCCGCGUGUGUGAAGAAGGCCAUCGGGUUGUAAAGCACUUUCAGUGAGGAAGAACGCCUGGUGGUUAAUACCCAUCAGGAAAGACAUCACUCACAGAAGAAGCACCGGCUAACUCCGUGCCAGCAGCCGCGGUAAUACGGAGGGUGCGAGCGUUAAUCGGAAUUACUGGGCGUAAAGCGCGCGUAGGUGGCUUGAUAAGCCGGUUGUGAAAGCCCCGGGCUCAACCUGGGAACGGCAUCCGGAACUGUCAAGCUAGAGUGCAGGAGAGGAAGGUAGAAUUCCCGGUGUAGCGGUGAAAUGCGUAGAGAUCGGGAGGAAUACCAGUGGCGAAGGCGGCCUUCUGGACUGACACUGACACUGAGGUGCGAAAGCGUGGGUAGCAAACAGGAUUAGAUACCCGGGUAGUC